RNAcentral lists this ribosomal RNA (904 nucleotides) under uncultured Bacteroidota bacterium. Its description in RNAcentral is "bacterial SSU rRNA". It matches the Rfam family "Bacterial small subunit ribosomal RNA", at positions 8 to 916 of the family's 1533-position model. Lineage: Bacteria; Pseudomonadati; Bacteroidota. The record is from RNAcentral.
AGAGUUUGAUCCUGGCUCAGGAUGAACGCUAGCGGGAGGCCUAACACAUGCAAGCCGAGCGGUAGAGAUUCUUCGGAAUCUUGAGAGCGGCGCACGGGUGCGGAACACGUGUGCAACCUGCCUUUAUCUGGGGGAUAGCCUUUCGAAAGGGAGAUUAAUACCCCAUAAUAUAAUGAGUGGCAUCACUUAUUAUUGAAAACUCCGGUGGAUAGAGAUGGGCACGCGCAAGAUUAGAUAGUUGGUGAGGUAACGGCUCACCAAGUCAAUGAUCUUUAGGGGGCCUGAGAGGGUGAUCCCCACACUGGUACUGAGACACGGACCAGACUCCUACGGGAGGCAGCAGUGAGGAAUAUUGGACAAUGGGUGAGAGCCUGAUCCAGCCAUCCCGCGUGAAGGACGACGGCCCUAUGGGUUGUAAACUUCUUUUGUACAGGGAUAAACCUUUCCACGUGUGGAAAGCUGAAGGUACUGUACGAAUAAGCAUCGGCUAACUCCGUGCCAGCAGCCGCGGUAAUACGGAGGGUGCAAGCGUUAUCCGGAUUUAUUGGGUUUAAAGGGUCCGUAGGCGGAUCUGUAAGUCAGUGGUGAAAUCUCAUAGCUUAACUAUGAAACUGCCAUUGAUACUGCAGGUCUUGAGUAAGGUAGAAGUAGCUGGAAUAAGUAGUGUAGCGGUGAAAUGCAUAGAUAUUACUUAGAACACCAAUUGCGAAGGCAGGUUACUAUGUCUUAACUGACGCUGAUGGACGAAAGCGUGGGGAGCGAUCAGGAUUAGAUACCCUGGUAGUCCACGCUGUAAACGAUGCUAACUCGUUUUUGGGUUUUCGGAUUCAGAGACUAAGCGAAAGUGAUAAGUUAGCCACCUGGGGAGUACGAACGCAAGUUUGAAACUCAAAGGAAUUGACGG